CCUACGGGAGGCAGCAGUGGGGAAUAUUGGACAAUGGGGGCAACCCUGAUCCAGCCAUGCCGCGUGUGUGAAGAAGGCCCUCGGGUUGUAAAGCACUUUCAGUGAGGAAGAACGCCUGGUGGUUAAUACCCAUCAGGAAAGACAUCACUCACAGAAGAAGCACCGGCUAACUCCGUGCCAGCAGCCGCGGUAAUACGGAGGGUGCGAGCGUUAAUCGGAAUUACUGGGCGUAAAGCGCGCGUAGGUGGCUUGAUAAGCCGGUUGUGAAAGCCCCGGGCUCAACCUGGGAACGGCAUCCGGAACUGUCAAGCUAGAGUGCAGGAGAGGAAGGUAGAAUUCCCGGUGUAGCGGUGAAAUGCGUAGAGAUCGGGAGGAAUACCAGUGGCGAAGGCGGCCUUCUGGACUGACACUGACACUGAGGUGCGAAAGCGUGGGUAGCAUACAGGAUUAGAUACCCUAGUAGUC
Molecule: ribosomal RNA, 465 nt
Filed under: Vreelandella stevensii
Lineage: Bacteria; Pseudomonadati; Pseudomonadota; Gammaproteobacteria; Oceanospirillales; Halomonadaceae
Description: partial 16S ribosomal RNA
Rfam family: Bacterial small subunit ribosomal RNA
Source: RNAcentral